RNAcentral lists this long non-coding RNA (541 nucleotides) under Fukomys damarensis (Damara mole-rat). RNAcentral describes it as "lncRNA (ENSFDAG00000029805.1)". The record is from RNAcentral. Lineage: Eukaryota; Metazoa; Chordata; Mammalia; Rodentia; Bathyergidae.
GUAUUUUCUAGUGAUUUCCUAAACAAAACACUCACAGGUUUAUGUUAAUAGACUCUGCUCCCCCAUACAGGAGUCAAGGUGAUUUUUUCCAAAACACAAACUGACCAUAUAUCACCACUUUUGAGAGCCCUUGUAUUCAUUCCUAUUUGCAAAUAUUCCAAGCUCUAUCAUGGCAUUUUGUAGAUUAGGUAAUCUUUGUCACACACAUGUCCAGAUUCAUUUCCUCCAUUCGUGUGUUCUAGGUGAGCCAUGAUACAAUGAUAGCUAACUCAUUGUACUAUUCUGACUGAUGCCUUAUCAAAUCUCUGCUUAUUUUGUAAUGUUCAUUAAUGAACUUUGGAAUCCUUCUCCGACACUGCGAUCAGAAACUACGGUUGUACCUCCAAUGCUUUGCACAGUGCUUGUUGACAGAAGUAACCAGAAAAUGCUUGUUAAAUGAAUGUGUAAUACUGCGGAGAAAGAGGGACAAAAAGAAGAUGUGGGGGGAUUAUAUAUCUAUCUUAUAUACACUUUGUUACAUAUUCUAUUUGGAAUCAGGCAU